Molecule: long non-coding RNA, 343 nt
Organism: Ostrea edulis (European flat oyster)
Lineage: Eukaryota; Metazoa; Mollusca; Bivalvia; Ostreida; Ostreidae
Exons: 2
Source: RefSeq, a predicted model, not a curated record
AACAGAGAUGUAAAAAUCGUAUUUGUUAAAUGUGAUAAAAUUUCAUAUUCGACUAAAAGAUAAGAUAAAAAUACACAUCUCUCGGAACAGUUUGAGAUGUCGCUACCGGGAUUGAGCUAUAAUAGCCUCAGUUCCAAACAGAACUGGUGCCCCAAAUCAUCGACGAUGCAUGGAAUUCAAAGAAAGAAAAAGCAGUGUGAAGAGAAAAAAGUCCUAUGAUUAUACAUAUACACACAAAAAUAGAUAAAUCCAUUCAUCAGUACUUAAGCGUGAUGGCCGACUAAAAUACCAAGUUUAUUCAUUUAGUAAAGUAUUAUGGAAUAAAUUACUUCUGGUCUGAAAA